This is a non-coding RNA of Ailuropoda melanoleuca (giant panda), 73 nucleotides long. The record is from Rfam. Lineage: Eukaryota; Metazoa; Chordata; Mammalia; Carnivora; Ursidae.
CCCUGGCCAGCUCAGUCAGUAGAGCAUGUGACUCUUAAUCUCAGGGUCUUGAGUUCAAAUCCCAUGUUGGGCA